UAAGACGUAGGGUCCAAGCGUUGUCCGGAUUUACUGGGCGUAAAGAGCGCGUAGGCGGCCUGUUAAGUGUGAAGUGAAAUCUCCAGAGCUCAACUCGGAAACUGCUUCGCAUACUGGCAGGCUUGAGGAAUGCAGAGGUAAGUAGAAUUCCUGGUGUAGCGGUGACAUGCAUUGAUAUCAGGAGGAAUACCCAUGGCGAAGGCAGCUUACUGGGCAUUAUCUGACGCUGAGGCGCGAAAGCGUGGGGAGCAAACAGGAUUAGAUACCCUGGUAGUCCACGCCCUAAACGAUGGAUACUAGGCGUAAGAGGUAUCGACCCCUCUUGUGCCGUCGCUAACGCAUUAAGUAUCCCGCCUGGGGAGUACGGCCGCAAGGUUG
This 378-nucleotide ribosomal RNA is filed under the name uncultured bacterium. RNAcentral's name for it is "bacterial SSU rRNA". It matches the Rfam family "Bacterial small subunit ribosomal RNA", at positions 521 to 896 of the family's 1533-position model. The record is from RNAcentral.